CGGCGGGGGGUCCGAGCGGCCCGUCGAGGGGACCAGAGGUUGACCUUAAAGUAUGAGGCAGCCUUGGCCCUUAGAGAGACCCCCUGAGACGCCGAUGUAAAGCCCCCUCUGCAGGAAGCUGCAGCGGGUAGUCGUGUUUCCUCGUCCAGUUUUCAGUCGAGAUGAGUCCCCAGACCACGGUCAUGUCCGGCUACGGCGGACCAGCCCAGCCCCAGGCUACUGAACAGCGGCUCCGCGGCAGUCAGCUCCCGUACCGGCCUCGCAGUUUCCUUCCUCGCAGUUUCCUUCCCGCCCAGCGCCUGACAGACUCCGCGUGUCAGCAGAGUCGAUGGACUCCGAUGUCUGUGUUUUCACUUACAGGCCAAAAGCCUAUGUCUUUGCUAGCCCGAGCAGCAUGUUUCUUGGUAAAAUGUUUGCUUAAUUUUGAUUGCUUCACUACUACAUUAAGAAAAAAAAAAAACAUACUAGCAGACUGCGCGCACUUGUAACGUUAUGAGUGGGUGAGGCUAUAAAACUCAGCGUAUGUAUAUGUGCAUAUGUGUGCGCGUGCACAUGCAUAGAAUCACCAGCAAGGUGACGACUACAUGGACUAAUAAAGUGAGUUGUACCGGCAACUCAAACUCAGGAUUAAUAUAGCCAUUAGCGAUUUUCUGACAGUCAACUAUUAUUGGUAAAAUGCAGAACAAAAUUAAAAAUAUUCUUUCCUCGAUUUACAUCGUUUAUAUAUUCAUGGAAAAUUCAAUGUAUUAAAAUUGUCAAAUGUUAUUUUUGUAUAAUGGACUGAGUUCCUACACUCAGAUACUUAUCAAGAGUUUUUUCGUCUACAUGAAUGUCCAGCAGGACCAUUCUUUUGGUGUGGGAAAUUGACCUGUGUGUAUUUCAAGAUGUUGCUCACACUACAAAUGCACAUUGCAGGAAACAGAUGGGGAAAAUAUAACUGCCUCAGCAAUUACACAGCAUUUAUGAAGACCUGAAAUAUCAUUUGUCAUUGUUAAAGAUACAAAAGCCUACCAAGGUAUCUAAAAGCUGUUGUAACAACCUAAUUACCUUAUCUUUUAUUCUGUAAUAACCCUAUCAUUUUAAUGACUCCGUUUGUCCUUUAUCAUCUCUGCUUCUACUGCUGCUAUCUUUUCUCAGUGCUUCCUCCAAUCAAAACACCUAAGACUCUGUAGUGGGUAUCAUGAUGCAUAGCCCAGAUCUCCCUUUGCAUCUCCUUGGAGUGUUGGCUGCUGACAUUUCACAGCCAAGUCCCUCUUCUGUAACUGUGGAAGAAGAAAGCGGCCAUGCACAGGGUUGUGCUCCCUACCUGAGAAAGGUCCAUGACUGGUCAUUGUGGGCCAUCCCUCUUGUCUCAAGUGAGGCAACUCUGAAGCACCAUCCCAGCUUCAGAACUCAUGAUUUGCUGAAAUCUCUAUUACAAGGGCAUUACACUUGAACUUCUCUGUAUUCCUAAUUUUGCUUCCUAAACUCCUACCAGAUAUUGUUCCCAAGAACACACUAAUAAACCUACUGCUUAUGAUCAGAUUCUCAGAGUCUGUUUCCAAUGGAAUGCUCUCUGCUACAGAAUCUGAUUGGGUCAAUUAGAUAUUAUCCCAUUAUUCAAUACCUGAUGUCCCUAAUAGGAUGUUUGUGAUGAUGGCAUAAACUCCUGGUUUUCUUUAUGUCUAUUCUCUACGUGGUAGACUUUUGCCAAGGUGCUGCUUUUUGUUUCAAACAUAUAUGGCCAGAGUAGAAGUGUCAGUUGCCUAAAACAUGGUGUGUGUUUUUAUGUGUUUGCUUUAAUAAGAAACAAAAAUUAUACUGUGGGCAUAGAUGCUUAGGUCUCAUGGACUUGCAGUGAGAUAGCACAUUUAAAAGACUAACAAAGGCCUUGAAUUUGGAGAGUGUUCAAUAAUGGAAAUUAUCAUAUUUACCCAACUUUGAAUUGAAUAUUUUCAUAGAAUUUGCCCAGGUCUGACUUAUAUAAUCUAAUAAGGGAGUAGAAAUACUACUUCUAAACUACCAUAAAACUAUAGCAUUUUUGAACACAGGGCAAUGGUCAAAUUCAGGGAUAAGAGUCCUAAGUUGGAAGCCUCUAUGAUCAGCACAAAUGCCCAUCAAAUUCCACAGAGCCAUUUAUUGGGCACUGAAAUAUGGCCACCAUCUCCAUUGAAAUUGUUUCAUACACAUAGAAGCUGGAGACAAGAGUAUAGAAUGCUGCUCCAGAAAAUGUCACAUUUCAAUGACCAUGUUUGCCAGCUCAUACAAAACCAAGAAAAUGCAUAAAACAUUUACCUUCCCAAGUAUGCAAGUGUACUUAAUUUGCAAAACCUAAUUCACGUACAGAACACUAGCUGCAAGGGAGUCUAAAAAUGUCAUUGGCAGUGCUACAACCUUUGUAGAACAGAAAGGCACAGUAGAAGGAGUGUAGGUUUGGAGGUGAAAGAGUCCAUCUAUAUGAAUCACCAUUGUAGCAAACAGCACCAUAAAAUCUAGAAAAAACUUGAUCAUCAAUGGACAGCUGAGCAAGAAUUCAAUUUAACUCCCACAACUAACUGACUUUUUGUACUCAUUCAACUAACCAGAUUCUAUGUAAUAACCUUUCACCUUUGACGUUGGUUUCUCAUGUAUGUAUCUAUAACUAACUAUUUUUAAAAUUUAUUUUAGGAUAUGGUAAACACAAGUAAAUUAUAUAAUUGGUAGGUUACUCAUAAUGUUUCUUUGCUUUUAUUUAGUUUUGGUGGUCAGUAUAUAACUUCAUGUCUGUACACAUGUUUAAAACCAAAAAAUAUUGAGCUAAUGGAAUGAAAACAAGGUCAGCCAGUUCUGCUGUAAAGAUACCGUUCUGGCAAUAAAAGUAUUUCUUUGAGAUAAA
Non-coding RNA from Miniopterus natalensis, 2854 nucleotides. The record is from RefSeq and is a predicted model, not a curated record. NCBI's taxonomy places the organism in Eukaryota, Metazoa, Chordata, Mammalia, Chiroptera, Miniopteridae.